RNAcentral lists this ribosomal RNA (429 nucleotides) under Verrucomicrobiota bacterium. Its description in RNAcentral is "Verrucomicrobia bacterium partial 16S ribosomal RNA". It matches the Rfam family "Bacterial small subunit ribosomal RNA", at positions 355 to 776 of the family's 1533-position model. The record is from RNAcentral. Lineage: Bacteria; Pseudomonadati; Verrucomicrobiota.
UAGGGAAUCUUCCGCAAUGGACGAAAGUCUGACGGAGCAACGCCGCGUGAGUGAAGAAGGAUUUCGGUUCGUAAAACUCUGUUGUCAGGGAAGAAAAAAUGUAUAGUAACUAUAUACAAAAGAGACGGUACCUAACCAGAAAGCCACGGCUAACUACGUGCCAGCAGCCGCGGUAAUACGUAGGUGGCAAGCGUUGUCCGGAAUUAUUGGGCGUAAAGCGCGCGCAGGUGGUUUAGAAAGUCUGAUGUGAAAGCCCACGGCUCAACCGUGGAGGGUCAUUGGAAACUAAUAAACUUGAGUGCAGGAGAGAAAAGUGGAAUUCCUAGUGUAGCGGUGAAAUGCGUAGAGAUUAGGAGGAACACCGGUGGCGAAAGCGGCUUUUUGGCCUGCAACUGACACUGAGACGCGAAAGCGUGGGGAGCAAACGGG